GCUUGAACCCAGGAGGCAGAGGUUACAGUGAGACGAGAUCACACCACUGCACUCCAGCCUGGACGCCAGAGCAAGACUCCGUCUCAAAAAUAAAUAAGUAAAUAAAAUAAAUGAUUGUGGUUCACAACACAUUCCAUUUAAUUUAGAAAAAAAUAAUGGAUUAUGGCUUAAAAAAAAAACAGAGUCUUGUUCUGUUGCUCAGGCUGGAGUGCAGUAGUAUAAUCAUAGCUCACCACAGCCUUGAACUUCUGGGCUCAAGCAAUC
RNAcentral lists this long non-coding RNA (264 nucleotides) under Homo sapiens (human). Its description in RNAcentral is "HSALNT0384696". Lineage: Eukaryota; Metazoa; Chordata; Mammalia; Primates; Hominidae. The record is from RNAcentral.